CUUCCGGCUUCCGGCUUCCGGCUUCCUGGGACGGGCCCGCUAAAUCAGAGUGCGAGGGUGCAGGUUAAGCUCAGGGAACAGACUUGAGUCAGUCACAGUGACAGAGAGGAAGAGCGCGAGGCCAGAAUGCUCCAGGCGGGGAACGUGCUCCGAGAGCCUGCGCCGGCUCUGACGUCAUAGGCGUGCGUCGGAGCAGAAAUCUGAGCAAGAGUGGGUAUCCGUGUACGUAUGACUGACUCACCUUGCUGUGCAGCAAGGAACCAACAACACGGUAAAGUGACUCUACGCCAAUAAAAAUCAAUUUUAAAAGAAAGAAUAAAAUAAGACAGAAGUGUGGGGUAUUGCUUCUGAGAUUUUGUUUAAGAAGACUACAUUGCAAGGACUUCCCUGGUGAUCCAGGGGUUAGGACCCAGCACUUCCACUGCCCAGGGCCCGGGUUGGAUCCCGGGUGGGGGAACUAAGAUCAUCCCACAAGCCGCGUGGUGAGGCCCCCGAAAAAAACAGAAAGUAAAAAACGACUGCUAGCUUGCAUACCUUGCUCUCUUGCUCCCUCUGAGGGAAGCCAGCUCUCAUCUUGACAGCUACCUUACAGAGAAGCCCACAUGGCGAGGAACAUCAGCCUCUGGCCAAUAACUAACCUUGAGGAAGUGAAGCACUCAGUUCAACAGCCUGAGGAGCUGAAUCCUGUCAACAGACAUGGCGGGGUGAGCUCGAAAGCAGAUCCACCCCACUCAGGUCUUCAGGUGACACUUUGGCCCAGGCAACACCUUAAGGGCCACUCUGCUAGAGUCCUUGAGGCAGAGCACCCCAGGUAAAGGUUGCCUGAUUCCUGACCCUCUGAAAAUGAGAUAACACGUUUGUUGUUUUCGGCCACUACGUUUUGGCAUCAUUUGUUCUGCAGCAGCGGGAAACUAAUACACUCUCUUACAGUCGCCAAGGUGUGGAAGCAGCCUAAGUGCCCAUCAGCAGAUGAGUGGAUAAAGAAGACGUGGAAUAUAUGUACACAAUGGAAUAGUACUCAGCCGUUAAAAAGAAUGAAAUUUUAGCGUUGUCAACUACAUGGUUGGACUUGGGGGUAUUAUGCUAAGUGAAGCGAGACAGAGAAAGACAAAUAUUCUGAUGUUUUCACUUGCGUGUGGAAUCUAAAAUAUGAAACAGGGCUUCCCUGGUGGCGCAGUGGUUGAGAGUCUGCCUGCCGAUGCAGGGGACAUGGGUUCGUGCCCCAGUUCAGGAAGAUCCCACAUGCCGCGGAGUGGCUGGGCCCGUGAGCCAUGGCCGCUGAGCCUGUGCGUCCGGAGCUUGUGCUCCGCAACGGGAGAGGCCACAACAGUGGGGGCUCACAUACUAUAAAUAAAAUAAAAUAAAAUA
This is a long non-coding RNA of Lagenorhynchus albirostris (white-beaked dolphin), 1368 nucleotides long. RefSeq lists it as uncharacterized. Lineage: Eukaryota; Metazoa; Chordata; Mammalia; Artiodactyla; Delphinidae. The transcript has 2 exons. The record is from RefSeq and is a predicted model, not a curated record.